AGAGAGAGAGAGAGAGAGAGAGAGAGAGAGAGAGAGAGAGAGAGAGAGAGAGAGAGAGAGACGGUGGAAAGAAGAGGAUGAAGAGUGAUUGAAACCUCAAUUCAGUAGGUAAUUUUCAGUUCCUUUUGCUUAAUUUCGUGUAUGCUCUGCAUAAUGAUAAUCAGUUGCUGGACAGAUUCGUACAGCUCUGAGUUUGUCUAUUUUCUCACCCUUUUAUGUCGAAAUUUACUUGGGUUUCUUCAUGAAAUCUGAACUACAUUUGAUGCUUGUUCUUUUGGCUUUGGAAUCACUUGAAAAGGUUAAGAACUCAAUUUACUGUGAAUUUUCGAAUGUUGGUCUGAUCCUGAGGAUCUGUUUUGAGACAGAUUUGUGAAUUUGUUGUGUUUGCCUAUUUUUAUCAUCAACACGCCGACCAUGUUAUUUUUUGGUAAUUUUACUGGAGAUGCCUCUGUGAGUGUAGUAUAUGCUGUAAAAAUUUCAGAAUUUUCUGAAUAGUAUGGAAAAAGAUAAAAAUCAUGAACCGAACUGGUGUCUGAUUCGCGUCUGUGCAGACAGCACAGACACGUGUUGGAAAAACGGGCAUAACUUCUUGCUCUGGUAUCGGUUUUACGCACCGUUUCUUGAUUCCGAAACUAGACUCGUAUAUCUUUCUGAAUCUAUAAAGAUUGUGCCUUAGUUUGGUCUGAGCAAAAUCAGUUUUGGUUCCGAAGUUUAUUGUUAGUGAUUCUGAAAUUCUGGGCAGGUUUUGUAGCUGUGUUCUUCAUCAAUUUUGUCAUAGUUAAAUAUACUUGCUGACUAUGGGUUCUCAUGAGUCUUAAACCUUGAUCAGUUGGUGUUGUUUUGGCGUUGGAAAUAUUAGAAAAGAUUAAGUGUGUGAUUUUUAAUGAGCAUUCGAUCGCAGACUGUUCUGCUGGGUCUGUAGUUUCUGUUUUAGAUGUGUAAUUUCAAUUGAGCAUAUCUUAGUCAUUCGGAGUCCAAUUUGAGCAAAUUUUAUAUCUAGAUUGAUGUACUAGAGGACUUCUUGCUAGUGGUGGUGGUCUUGUAGUAUUCUUUGAAACCUAUAGAGAAGUAUGGCCAAAAUACGAUAGACUGUCUGGCUGAAUUUUGGUGUUUCCGACACAUAAUUCGUUUGGUGGUUCUUCUAUAUAGUGUGUUUGUGAAAUUCUUGGUUUUGGGUACGAAUUGGUAAAUUUACUUUUGUUCGGCAAUUGCUAUAUAGUUGAAUUGAUGCAGAACAUUGUUAAUGUAUUUGUUAAAGCCUUUCAAGUAUUUCUAUACUAAAAUGUUUGGCUUGUGGAUAGGUGACGAGUCGGUGAGUCAAGGAGCACCGAAAUCAUAGUUGUACUUUCUUUUGGAGUACAAGUUUUGCAGGCGUUGUAGAUAUCCACUGCUGAUCGUCGUGGGGUUGUACGCUCGCUUAGGGUAGCAUGUCGGAAAGGCUGGACUAGUUUGGCAAAAUUUUGUAAAUAGGGAUGUAGUGCAGCCUAUGUUUAUAUUUGGUUUAUUGAAUAGUUUAAUGCUUUCUUAAGACUUCCGCUGUGUUUGUAAGAACGUUAAGUUUUGCGUUAUCAAUAAAAUGGCUGUUGGUUAA
Rhododendron vialii is the source of this 1591-nucleotide long non-coding RNA. RefSeq lists it as uncharacterized. The record is from RefSeq and is a predicted model, not a curated record. NCBI's taxonomy places the organism in Eukaryota, Viridiplantae, Streptophyta, Magnoliopsida, Ericales, Ericaceae. The transcript has 2 exons.